Molecule: ribosomal RNA, 497 nt
Filed under: uncultured bacterium
Lineage: Bacteria
Description: partial 16S ribosomal RNA
Rfam family: Bacterial small subunit ribosomal RNA
Source: RNAcentral
GAUGAACGCUGGCGGCGUGCCUAAUACAUGCAAGUCGAGCGAACAGACGAGGAGCUUGCUCCUUCGACGUUAGCGGCGGACGGGUGAGUAACACGUAGGUAACCUACCUAUAAGACUGGGAUAACUUCGGGAAACCGGAGCUAAUACCGGAGAAUAUUUCGAACCGCAUGGUUCGAUAGUGAAAGAUGGCUUUGCUGUCACUUAUAGAUGGACCUGCGCCGUAUUAGCUAGUUGGUAAGGUAACGGCUUACCAAGGCAACGAUGCGUAGCCGACCUGAGAGGGUGAUAGGCCACACUGGAACUGAGACACGGUCCAGACUCCUACGGGAGGCAGCAGUAGGGAAUCUUCCGCAAUGGGCGAAAGCCUGACGGAGCAACGCCGCGUGAGUGAUGAAGGUCUUCGGAUCGUAAAACUCUGUUAUUAGGGAAGAACAAACGUGUAAGUAACUGUGCACGUCUUGACGGUACCUAAUCAGAAAGCCACGGCUAACUACGUG